AAAUCUGGCCCCUCGGGGUCCGAGUUGUAAUUUGUAGAGGAUGCUUUUGGUGAGGUGCCGCCCGAGUUCCCUGGAACGGGACGCCACAGAGGGUGAGAGCCCCGUCUGGCUGGCCACCGAGCCUCUGUAAAGCUCCUUCGACGAGUCGAGUAGUUUGGGAAUGCUGCUCAAAAUGGGAGGUAUAUGUCUUCUAAAGCUAAAUAUUGGCCAGAGACCGAUAGCGCACAAGUAGAGUGAUCGAAAGAUGAAAAGCACCUUGAAAAGAGGGUUAAAUAGUACGUGAAAUUGUUGAAAGGGAAGCGCUUGUGACCAGACUUGGGCGCGGCGGAUCAUCCGGGGUUCUCUCCGGUGCACUUCGACGCGUCCAGGCCAGCAUCAGUUCGUCGCGGGGGAAAAAGGCUUCGGGAACGUGGCUCCUCCGGGAGUGUUAUAGCCCGUUGCAUAAUACCCUGCGGUGGACUGAGGACCGCGCAUCUGCAAGGAUGCUGGCGUAAUGGUCACCAGCGACCCGUCUUGAAACACGGACCAAGGA
Molecule: ribosomal RNA, 532 nt
Filed under: Trichoderma oblongisporum
Lineage: Eukaryota; Fungi; Ascomycota; Sordariomycetes; Hypocreales; Hypocreaceae
Description: eukaryotic LSU rRNA
Rfam family: Eukaryotic large subunit ribosomal RNA
Source: RNAcentral